RNAcentral lists this ribosomal RNA (588 nucleotides) under Paenibacillus montanisoli. RNAcentral's name for it is "bacterial SSU rRNA". It matches the Rfam family "Bacterial small subunit ribosomal RNA", at positions 1 to 576 of the family's 1533-position model. The record is from RNAcentral. Lineage: Bacteria; Bacillati; Bacillota; Bacilli; Caryophanales; Paenibacillaceae.
CUUUUAUGGAGAGUUUGAUCCUGGCUCAGGACGAACGCUGGCGGCGUGCCUAAUACAUGCAAGUCGAGCGGAUCUUCCCUUCGGGGAAGGUUAGCGGCGGACGGGUGAGUAACACGUAGGCAACCUGCCUGUAAGACCGGGAUAACAUUCGGAAACGAAUGCUAAUACCGGAUACGCAGCCUGAUCGCAUGAUCGGACUGGGAAAGACGGUGCAAGCUGUCACUUACAGAUGGGCCUGCGGUGCAUUAGCUAGUUGGUGAGGUAACGGCUCACCAAGGCGACGAUGCAUAGCCGACCUGAGAGGGUGAUCGGCCACACUGGGACUGAGACACGGCCCAGACUCCUACGGGAGGCAGCAGUAGGGAAUCUUCCGCAAUGGACGAAAGUCUGACGGAGCAACGCCGCGUGAGUGAUGAAGGUCUUCGGAUCGUAAAGCUCUGUUGCCAGGGAAGAACAGCCAAGGGAGUAACUGCCCUUGGAAUGACGGUACCUGAGAAGAAAGCCCCGGCUAACUACGUGCCAGCAGCCGCGGUAAUACGUAGGGGGCAAGCGUUGUCCGGAAUUAUUGGGCGUAAAGCGCGCGCAGGC